Molecule: ribosomal RNA, 501 nt
Filed under: uncultured Pseudomonadales bacterium
Lineage: Bacteria; Pseudomonadati; Pseudomonadota; Gammaproteobacteria; Pseudomonadales
Description: bacterial SSU rRNA
Rfam family: Bacterial small subunit ribosomal RNA
Source: RNAcentral
AUUGAACGCUGGCGGCAGGCUUAACACAUGCAAGUCGAGCGGAGAUGAGGUGCUUGCACCUUAUCUUAGCGGCGGACGGGUGAGUAAUGCUUAGGAAUCUGCCUAUUAGUGGGGGACAACAUUCCGAAAGGAAUGCUAAUACCGCAUACGUCCUACGGGAGAAAGCAGGGGAUCUUCGGACCUUGCGCUAAUAGAUGAGCCUAAGUCGGAUUAGCUAGUUGGUGGGGUAAAGGCCUACCAAGGCGACGAUCUGUAGCGGGUCUGAGAGGAUGAUCCGCCACACUGGGACUGAGACACGGCCCAGACUCCUACGGGAGGCAGCAGUGGGGAAUAUUGGACAAUGGGGGGAACCCUGAUCCAGCCAUGCCGCGUGUGUGAAGAAGGCCUUAUGGUUGUAAAGCACUUUAAGCGAGGAGGAGGCUACUGAGACUAAUACUCUUGGAUAGUGGACGUUACUCGCAGAAUAAGCACCGGCUAACUCUGUGCCAGCAGCCGCGGUAA